This 415-nucleotide ribosomal RNA is filed under the name uncultured Devosia sp. Its description in RNAcentral is "bacterial SSU rRNA". It matches the Rfam family "Bacterial small subunit ribosomal RNA", at positions 358 to 790 of the family's 1533-position model. The record is from RNAcentral. Lineage: Bacteria; Pseudomonadati; Pseudomonadota; Alphaproteobacteria; Hyphomicrobiales; Devosiaceae.
GGAAUAUUGGACAAUGGGCGCAAGCCUGAUCCAGCCAUGCCGCGUGAGUGAUGAAGGCCUUAGGGUUGUAAAGCUCUUUCAGUGGGGAAGAUAAUGACGGUACCCACAGAAGAAGCCCCGGCUAACUUCGUGCCAGCAGCCGCGGUAAUACGAAGGGGGCUAGCGUUGUUCGGAUUUACUGGGCGUAAAGCGCACGUAGGCGGAUUGGUCAGUUAGGGGUGAAAUCCUGGAGCUCAACUCCAGAACUGCCUUUAAUACUGCCAGUCUAGAGUCCGGAAGAGGUAAGUGGAACUCCUAGUGUAGAGGUGGAAUUCGUAGAUAUUAGGAAGAACACCAGUGGCGAAGGCGGCUUACUGGUCCGGUACUGACGCUGAGGUGCGAAAGCGUGGGGAGCAAACAGGAUUAGAUACCCGGG